RNAcentral lists this transfer RNA (63 nucleotides) under Coreidae sp. EMHAU-2015-Zz052308. Its description in RNAcentral is "tRNA-Glu". The record is from RNAcentral. Lineage: Eukaryota; Metazoa; Arthropoda; Insecta; Hemiptera; Coreidae.
AUUCAAUUAGUUUAAAAAAAACCUUUCAUCUUCAGUGGGAAAAUAGAUUAUAUCUAUUGAAUG